CACGUAGGAGGCAAACGUUAUCCGGAUUUACUGGGCGUAAAGCGCGUGUAGGUGGUUCUGUAAGUAGGGCGUGAAAGCUCCUGGCUCAACUGGGAGAGGCCGUUCUAAACUGCAGAGCUAGAGGAUGGUAGAGGGAGGUGGAAUUCCAGGUGUAGCGGUGGAAUGCGCAGAUAUCUGGAGGAACACCAGUGGCGAAGGCGGCCUCCUGGACCAUUCCUGACACUCAGACGCGAAAGCUAGGGUAGCAAACGGGAUUAGAUACCCCGGUAGUCCCU
Molecule: ribosomal RNA, 275 nt
Filed under: uncultured prokaryote
Description: partial 16S ribosomal RNA
Rfam family: Bacterial small subunit ribosomal RNA
Source: RNAcentral